UUUUUUUUUUUUUUAUGUAUACAUAGUAAAAUUUAGGUUAAUAUUAUGUUUGUAGAAUUUUAAUUCCACAUCAGCUUUAUUCAAUAGAUGGUUUAAUACAUUUUUGUAUGCGUGAAUUAAUGUAAAGCAUAAAAAUUUAAAUUAAUUAAUUUCAUUUGUUACAACAUGUAAGAUUUAACAAAAUAUUAUUUGAAUGGUAAUUCUGUAAAGUUUAUUAUGUAAAAUAGUUUUUAACAUGAUUUUUGUAGUAUUUUACUUAUUUUAUAGAGGAAUCUUUUAUAGCCAAAGAUAAAAUAUACAUUCACACAAAACAUCAUUUAAAGUACCAGUGUCCUUUGUGAUUGUAAAAUGUUUUGGCUCAUUUGCAAGAGGAUUAAGUAGAUCUUCCUCUUUUAAAGACUAAAUCAUUUUGGCUCAAAGUUGGAUCACUACUGAGAUUUUAAAAAGAGAAUUAAUCAUACAUAGAUAUGAUAGCUGUUUCAAAUGGUAAUUCUACUUCAACUGCUUUGUUAGCCAUAAUAAACAUUCUAGAAAGCUAUAGUAUUAUUAGGCUAGGGAUUUAUAGAGUCAAUUCCCUCAAAGUUCACAACCUCUUUUUGAUCUAUGACUACUAAAAAACUAACACAUAAUUUAUUAAGUUUACAUGGUAUAGAGCACUUAAAAAGAGUAAAUCACAUAUGUGGCAUGCCCCACACAUGUGCCAUUUCUAUUUAAAUAUUAUAAUGCACAUAAUCAUAUUUUGAUUGGUCAAAUGCACACAUAUUGUAAUAUGCAUUUAACAUAUCUGUAUUAUAAUAUUGUGUGAAAUUGAAAAUAAGAAAAAUAUAUCUGCACAGAUGUAAAUAAAUAUAAACCCAUGUGCAAUCAUAUAUUCAUUUCUAUAGAGGGAAAUAUAAAAUUUUAAAGGAAUUAUAAUAAAUAAAUAGAUAAAUAAAUAAAUAAUCUUAUAAUGUUUAGAAAAUAAUUUUUUAUUAAAAAUUUCCAAAUAAGUAGCAAGAUAAAAUAUAAUAGAAGUUCAAAUUAAAUCUAAAUAUAGUGAUCUAAAAUUAAACAUGAUGACAAUAAAUAUAAAAUAUAAUCCACUAUAAAAAAAAGUCAUGUAUGCAUAUAGCACAAGCUAUGCCAUUUUAAAUAUUUUGAGAAAAACUACUACAGAUAAUUAUUAUUUAAAUGAUAAUAGUUAUUGUUAUCCAAAAUGCAUAUGUGAUUCUAAAAGCAUCAUUAUUCUAUAAAAGUCAAAUGGUGAAUUUAAGUGAUUUAUAAUUUGUAAUAUUGUAUAUACUUAGAAUAUAUUUAGAUAUUUUGGGAGAUUCUACCAUCUAAUCUUGUAUUUAUAACUUAUAAACUUCUAGUAUAUUCUAGUUUAUUCUAAAAAAAAACAAUUGUGUUUAUAUUAUAAUUAUUUUUCGGGCUUAAAAUUAAUUCUAUAAGUGAUGCUCCAACACCUUAAAAUAUUAAAAAGUAAGAGUUGAACUAUAGACACUCACAAUAUUGUUAUUAUAAAGUUCUUUAGUUAUUAUAAGUCCAACUACAUGGUUAUUUAGAGUUUAUUGUGCAAUAUAAUAAGAAGUUUUAAUUGAAUUACCCAGACUAAUAAAUAACACUAAAAGAAAGAAUUUAAGUUAUUUAGAUUAUAUCUCAUUUAUUCUACAGUAAUAAAUAUUCUUACCAAACAAAAAAAAGUGCUCUGGUCAGAGCUUUAGAGGCUUUGGGACAGGCGCACCUCUUGGGGCAGCAGCCUGUAGUCGAUCUCCAGCUCCUGGAACGAAUCCUUGAGAUGGAUGAGGAGAUCCGAGCGGCGGAUCCACUUCUCGCCCGCGUUCUGGUGAUUCAUCGUGUGCUGGAGCCACAGGGACAUCCGGACCCUGUUCAUGUCCUCGAUCUCGCGCAUCACCACGUCGUGCUUGGGAUGCCAGUGGUGGAGGUGGCUGUCGAUGUACCGCUUGAUCCUCACCUUGAGCGCGUCGAUCUUCUCGGCAGGGGUGGAGAUGUGGAGGCUGAAAUCGAUGGCGUCGCCCAUGUCGGGGCUGCGGUAGAAGUUGCUGAUCGGUUUGGUCGCCAGCACGGAAUUCGGGUAGUAGAUCUUCUCGUUGUCGUAGCGGAGGAAGACGGUGGUCAGGAUGUUCAUCUCUUCCACCACCAUCUGCAUUCGCAUUUGCGAAGAUCAUGAGAUCCAGUCAAGGCAAAAACAAGGAAUUCAUUCCAGACCUGAACUCCAUCGACCACGCAACGAUCGCCCACGUCGAAGGGAUGCAUCGCAAACAAGAAGAUGAUGGCCUCGAACACCGUCUUGCAUGUGUUGCCAAAGACGAACACCGCUAGAACCAGCUGGGACGAGAGCGCUACGAGCAAGUGCGUCGUCGCGAUUCCCAGAAUGAGCAGCCAGAUCACGAGGAUUAUGAUCCCCAUGAUCACGUCCGUGAUCCGGUGGAGCUUUUUUACCGCCGUCUUGGUGUCAUUGAGCGAGAAGGAGAGCGCCCGCUUCUCCCGGUAUACAUUCACCUAAAGAAGAGAGAGAUUAAGAACCCUAAAAUAUAACAGAGGACUUUGAACUCACCACAAAGUUGACGAGCGCUUGCUUACUGAUCUUGCCAGUCUCCAUGGCGCCAUCGAAGAGCGCGAACGCCUUGAUCGCGCACUCCUCGUCGCCCAGGAACCUCAUGAGAUCGACGAGGGAGAGGCAGCGGCAUCCCGGGCGAGCGGCAUUGUUGAAGAUGUGCUUGGCCGCCGCCUUGGCCUGCCAGUCGCCCUCCAAUCCGCCGCUACCGCCCCCGCAGGAAUCCUCGUCGGAGUCGAUGGCGUGCGCCAGCGUCGUGAUCCGCGGCGAUUUGGCGAGCCGGAUGAGCCUCUUCAUGUUCCAGGCCGAGACGUUCUUCUGGUUCAUGCGCUGGAGGUGCUCGAUGCUAAUGGGGCCGCCGCUCUUGUGAUCGCCACCGCCACCACCGCCAAUGUUCCCGGAUUUCUUGAGCAAUCGCGGGUCAGCCUCGCUAGAUCUCUUGCCAGCCUCGCCGGAUCUCUUGAGCACCUGGCUCGGAUUGCCCUGGCUCUCCAGCAGCGGCGGCCCCGAGAGAGACUCGAGGAUGUACUCAUUGAAAAGAGACUCCUGGAUGCGAUCGAAAAAGGUGUUGACGUGAAAGCUGAGCGCGAGCACCUUGACGAGGAGGAUCUUGACGAGCCAGAGCGAGGCGGCGACGAGCAGGCAGAUGAGGAUCCUGGUGACGAUCUCGAGGGCCUUGCGCUCGCGCCGGAUGGGCAGCGGGAGGUUUGGAUCGAAGAGGAGGCGCCAGGCCAGGAGGAUGAUCCCAAACCACAGGCAGUUUUGGACGCCCUUGUGGAGGCCAUAGACGAAGUAGACGAGGCGCUUGCGCAGGAUGAAGUUCCGCUCGAUGAAGAAGACGAGGAAGCGGAUGAUCCAGCCCGAGAGGAGGCGGCCGCUGAGGAUGACGAGCGCGAGCACCGCCCAGCGCCAGAGAUGGAGGCCCAGGAGCUUGCGGCGCUCGAGCACCGGGAUGUUGGUGGUACACACUAGGGCCCCAAUGCUGAGCGCCAGAAACCCCCAUUCCAAGAACACCCACAGAUUCCAGGGCUUGUGGAUGAGAUCGUCGGGCACGUCCAGUGGAUCGUCCUCCGCCGCCCCGGUCGCCGAUCCUGCCGCUUGAGCGUCCGGGGAUUUGUUGAGAACUCCCGAGGAUUUGAGCAGCCCUGACCGGAGAGGUGGCGGCGGUGGAUCCCCGAGUCUGGAUUUGCAGCGACCGUAGGAUGGAAUCCUGGAGGCUGCCUUGGCGGAGGAUGGAUCGAGCGCUCCAGCUUCGGCGGCGUCAGGGUAUCGAUCGGACGUGGAGCUGGAGCGGCGCCGCAACGAGGCCUUAGUACUGGGUGAUUCCCAGAAUGUGAGCUCGCCGUCCACGCCCACGCCCGGAUCGAGCUGGAAAUCCCCGGAUUCCUUCUGGUGCCUCAGGAAUUCGCCGAUGAGCUUGGUGGGAGGAUCGAUCGACUGCGCAGCCGAGAGAGUGGCGGGAUCGUCUUGGAAGAAAUAGCUGUUGCUCCGUUCCAGGGAUCCCUCUUUCCGCUCGUCCUCGGCAAUGUGGGUGGAAUUUCUCGCGAGGCUUGGCUGCCCGGUCGGGGAUGGAGCGUCCUCGUCGAUCCGGAGAAUGACCCUGUCCAGCUUACUCCCAGCAUUGGCCUCGCCAUUCAUCAUCAUCUCCUUGGCCACAGCACCCAUGGAUGGAUUCCAAUCAAUCUUUUCCUUGUGAAUCCGCGAUCGAGUAUCUCCUCUCUCGCGCUCCUUUCGAUUGAAUCGAUCGAUAGCGCCGAAAUUCCAAGACAGGAGUCCCGAAAUCUAGCUCGAGCUCCUGUUCUCCGCGACAAGGAAAUAAAUGCGAGGAGGGAGGGAGGGGAGAAGAUUAUUCUAUUGCGUGGAAAACACCUACGCGGACAAGAGAGAUCGAUCGAAUUCUCGUCCCAUUCCACGCAACGCCAAGGAGAAAGCGAUCGAUUUGGACGGAUUAUAAUGAAGAACACAUGAGAGCGCGAGUGCGCGAGUGCGCCUGCUUGGUUCCCAGGCGAGGUGUCAACGAAACGCAGAUUUUGCGGUCAAUCUUUCUCUCUCGGCAAUUGGGUAGAUAGAUACAUUCGCCGCCCCGCACGAAAAACAACUACGUACGUGGCGCCACGCCACCCCUCCACGUGUCGUUAUAGAAAGCCACUUUUUCCGAUCAGGAGAAUAUGCCGCACGAUGGUUGCCGAAAUCCAAAGAAAGUUCCUGGAUUAAAGUUCUCUAGGUGGAGCCUAAGAAUUUGGGUGAUUUCCAGAGAGAAAGUUAAAAAGAAGAUACGAUGAAUAUGGAGGGGUCAGAUCCUGGUUAACGUGGAUGGCAGUGUGAAAAAUAUGAAACGUCCAACCCUUUGGAAACACAUAGCUCCAGGGACAAAAAGGAUUAAAUUCAAUAGCAAAGUUACUUCUUACACCAUUGUAUUCUAUUUCAUUUCUCUGACUGGAAUUGCAUUGUCUCGUCAACAAGACGAGUUGUCACUUGUAUCAUCCCAUGUCAAAGAGACUUUCUCGAAGAAUUCUUUGGCCUUCUCCCUGCUGCGCGACCGAGAUUGAUGUGACAAGAAGACAAAGCGUUGGUUUGUUGCCAGAUGUUGUCACGAAGUCAGCAAAUCCAAGCCCUACGAAUGGCUUUGGCAUGAGGAUCCAAAAGGGCAAAGGGGAGUAGUGUGCUGCCCAAAGAAUGCUGGUUUGUCAAGAGAGGUCGUCAUGUGUGAUCUUGCAAAUAACAGCUUCAGAUUGACAAAUUCCACAAUCUCAGACACGAACACUUUCAACAGGCGAUCCAACCCUUGGACGGGGUAGCCGAAUUUAAAAGAGGUAAAAAAGACCUCUUGCAACGUAGUGUCUCCACCUUUUCGAAGACAUGAAGAUCAAUGGAAGAAUCACAAGCGGCUCCACAAGAGCGCCAUAUCCUUUUUCACUCCACGAGGAACUUCCUCUUGUUUUUAUCAAGAAUAUGCGACAAAGCUUUUCUCAGUCAUGGCGAUCUCUCUAGGUAGGCUAGCAGCACAAGUCAUUUGCGGUUGAUUUCCACAACGUAUCCGUCUUCUGGGAUUCGCAGUGGCCAGUUUCUUAUUGCCCCGUUUGGAGCUUUCGGCUUCCAGCUGCGAGAAGGAAUUGUUUUUUCUUUUGAAGAACUUUAGGAAACUUAAGUACCUGUACUGUGUUACUAGCCUGUGAAAGAAAACGAGGAUUUCCAGUUUAGCAAGCUCGGCACCAGGACAAGUUCGCAAACCGCAUCCAAAUCCAAUGAGAGUUCCCGGUUUUUGUGGAACCUGCGAAGUAUGGUAAGGGUUUUCUUCGUAGCAAAUCGAAAGAAAGUUUUAAUACGAGGAAUCUGGAGGGGUCAAAUUUAUAAGGAUCAGCGAAAUAAUCUUCGUUCAGGUGGAUGGCAGUGUGGAAAAUGUGAAGCGUCCAUCCCUUUGGAAACACAUAGCCUGGAAUCCAUUGAAAACAGGAGGAGCAAAUUUUAUAGCAAAACCACUUAGAGCUGUUUACCAUUGUACUCGACAGUGUGUUUCAUCUCUCUGACCAGCAUUCCUCCAGUUGCAGAUCUUAGAGUCUCCUGAAGAACACGCAUAGUCACUGGCAUUCUUCUUGUAUCCUCCCAUGUCAAGUGAGGUUGCUCUCUUUCUCGAAGAAUUUUCUGGUGUUCUUCCUGCAAGCGCGAACAAUUAAUAUAGAAGAAGAACUGUCUUUUGUAGGAUUUACCACAAGUUCCUUCAAGAUUUCGGGAUUUUCUUGCAAGCGUUUCAUCAUCCACACGAGCGUGAGAGGAGUAGUGUGCUGCCCUGCAAAGAGCAAACCAACAAUAUUGUCCUCAAUCUGCUGGUUUGUUGAGUUGAGGUCCUCGUCAUUCAUGAGCUUAUGCAAGAGGUCGUCAUGCGUGAUCUUGGAAAUCCUCCUCUCGUUUAUCAAUCGAUCAAGGUGAUAGUGAAGACGUUUCCGAGCCUGGAUAUGGUUUCAAAUCAGUUCGCAAAGAAUUUCUCCAAGACUUACCUGAAGCGCUCGAUGGUAAUCAGUGAACGGGAGAUUUAUGGGAAGCUUAAACAAGCCUCUAGAAGCCACGGUUACAUCGUGCAUGAAAUCUCCCGUUUUGGUUUGAAAAAUACGCGGGUCAUCACAAAUAAACGCGGUGACAACGUCGAAAGUUAACUGCAAGAACAGAACAAGAGCUUAGAACUGGCAAAGCUCACAAAUCACAGAUACCUGUAGUGUUUCUUCCAAAACGGUAACACAUCCCUUCCGUUGCCAAGAAGUCAAUAAGUCCAUAGCAAUCUUGUCAAACCUUUGGACAUGAUUCUUGAGAGCAUCACCACUCAUGGAGCUCAGUAUUGCUCGGUGAUAUCUUGCAUGUGUUGCUCCUUCCACAUAUCCCACACUUUCUUUUCCGACAAUCAAGAAGCCCGAGUUUGAAGGGGAGCAACAAUUCCUUGCUCCAGGAUUUGUGAGGAAAAACUUUACAGCUUCGGGAGUACUGAUAACAAUACUUUGACGUCCGAACAAGUGAGCCGAAAAAAUGUCCCCAAAUCUGUUGGGAAUGGAAAACGAGAACAGAAAAAGCUUGAAAGAUGAAAAAGAAAAGAGAAAAAUUACCUCUUGCGACGCUGGAAAACGAAAUCCUCAGCUGUGCCUCGCAGAAGUUGUAUUGUCUCGCCAAGAAUGGGCAAGCCUCGAUUGCCUGGUGGUGUUUGCAUGGAGCCACUCUUUCUUUUUGACGAUAUAAGGAAUGCAGCCACUGCAGGGAUCACAAGCAGCAAGUAGAGACUCCACAGCGCCAUAACUUUCCUCCUUACAACCUGAUAACUUCGUCUUAGUUUUAUCGUUUCCAAGCGUGCACUCGCAAUGUUUCGGACAGAACGAGGACUUCAUAACUUUUUGCGUUUUGGCGAUUUCUCGAGGUAGCAAAUGCCGACAAUAUUCAUUUGUCAUUUACUAAUCCAAUGGGAAUCUGGAUGAACUUCUAUCACCUGUCUCGAGCAAGCUAUUUAACUUCAUUUUCCAGCUAUUGACAUGUCUGUAAACCCACCAAAUUAUAUGAUGGAUCGAUCAUAAAACAGCUUAGCUUCAAAGCAAGUGUUUUCGGAACCAAGCUAUAAAGUCUUUGUGAGCCUCCUCCGCAUUCUUCACUGUGGUUUUGUUCUUCACAUCAGAGUCAAUUUGGACAAUUCGGAGUCAAAUGCGAGUUGAGUGGGACUCAAUGAAGUGGAUUUAGAAUGACAUGGUGUGCACAAUUCAAAACUGCAAAACACUGCAUGACAUGUCAUUGGCAUGUUUGUCAUAUCAUCACUGCCACAGGGCGAGAUUAAGAUAUGGAAGUGUACUUCAUAAGAAAGAAGCAAGAAAAGUAUUACAGACUUAAAAAUCAUAUGCAAUCAACUUACUCAAUGUCCUCAAGUGCAAUGGCCUGUAGAGAAGCUAGAGGCAUGACCAUGAGCUGUGCCUUAAUUGGCAAAACCACAAUUACUUGCAGUACAUCCUGUGGAAGCUGGUUCAUUCUGGAAUGAUUAGACCAUCAUCGAGUUUGGCUCUUGGGUGGGUGUAUAGUACAAUCAUGUAAAGGUUGUGAUCAUAGCAAUAGAAUGACCAUACAUCACAACUGACAAAGUCCUUCUGGUUUACCCAUCACAACCUAAGUCUCUCUUCUACAAAAGAAUGCAAUGAGACACAAAUGAAGAGAACAAAACUAACAAAAUUCUUACAUAUUGUCACUAUUUGUAACUUUGAUAAGUCUUGCAAUAUAUAUUAUGACAUUAAGCAUUAUAAAUCAUGAAUUAAAAAACAAUAUCUUUUUUAUAUAAUUUUUAAUAUAUUAUGAUAUUGUGAAUGCUAGGGAUAUAGGAAUAGGUAUAUUGAUUUAAACCUCUGCUUAUAUACAAGAAUGGAUGGAUUAGAUUUAGUUUCAAAUAGAGAGUCUAUAUGUUAUAGUACUAUAAUUAAUGUAUUAGACAGGGUAAUACAUGUAUAUACAUAUAAAUGUUACACCAUCUUAAAGAUGAAAAAGUGAUAAUAAUAAGUCAGAUGGAAUAUUUUGAGCUUUUGUAGGGUGAAUAUAAACUACUACAAAGAGGUCUUUAAACAAAUAUUUAGAUAUACUGACAAUUGUGAUGAUACCUUUUAACAAUUGCAUUGUCUUUGUCAAAGGUUAUCUAUGCAAUUUGGCAUUCGUUUUUUAAGCCUUUUGCUUUGUGCAGAGCCAAAUAUGUUGGAGUGGAUUAAGCUAAGAAUGUUGUGGCCAGUACUUCGUCAAGAUUUUGUCGAACUUGUGUAUGCAUUUACUCUAGCCACCCUUGAUAAUGUUUUUCGUUUAGCACAAUGUUAUGAGACAUCACUUUUUCCACUUCUUGUUGCACGUCUUUCAGCUCCACUUUUUGUGGGUGAUGGUCCUAUUCUAAUGGAGGUUGAUGCUGUUGCUGCUUAAGUUCAAGGACAAGGGCGAGAAUGCAGUCAUGGCCGUGAUGUUCGCUGCUAAGCGUGUGAUGAAGUUGGUCAUACUUUUCGGCAUUGUCGGCGUUUUCCAGAUUUGAGGCCUCUAUUUUUUGGUGGAGACCUUGGCAUCAACAACGUUCUAUUAGUGUUGCUGUAGUGGAAGGUUUGGAUACCGAGAUGCAUCCGGGAAACAAGGAGUUGCAUAAGUAACAGAGGGACCUUGCGCGAAUAAGUAAAUGACUCCUUCAUCUUUUUUUCGGGAGUAUCAUCAAGGGUUCAUUUGGCACUAGUUUAGCUCACUUUCCAAGCUCAUUUUUAUAACAAAAGGUUUUUUAUUGUUCUCUUUGUAUUAGUUGAUAUAGGUCCAAAUUUAUCUUCUAUUGCUCAAUUUGUUACCACACAUUGCCGUUUACACUUGUGUCAUGCGGUGGACUUAGUUUUCAUUCUUUAUGGCAACGGUCGUGCACAUGCAUGUGCACGGGAUGAGGUGGAUUUAGUUGUGCGUGUGAGCAAUCUUAAGGUUGGGUUCUAAUCAUUUGGGGGUGGUGUCGAGUCAAGUUUUUUACCUCAUCCUUGGUAUGGAUUGGUUGCAAUGCAAUCAUGCUAAAUGUGACUUUAAGGUUUCUUCCCUUUGUUUUAUACUUUUUUAUAUUUCAUCCAUUCCUCUCAAUUCUGUACCUCUUUGUCCCUUUGCUUCUACUUCUGCUUCCAUUACUUUUAUCCCCCCACUACUUCCUUCUAUGUUUCCGUUUUGUUCUGCUCUUCCCUUUUCCAAUCCCUCAGAUAGUCUUUGUGUUGCAGUGGUUGACCGGCUCAUAAAUGAGUAUGGCAAUCUCUUUGAAUUUGACUUAUCAUCUAGGGCUAAGAUUGCCACACGUCAUCCAAUUCCAAUUGAGGAUGCUCGUCCAAUCAAAGAUCCUAUUCAUUGUUGGUCAUCCAAAGAGAUUAAGAUUUUAUGUGCAAACGUUAAAGAGAUAUUGAAAAAAAGUAUUAUUCGAAAGUUGCAGAGUUGUUAGGUAUAUGAACCUCAUUUUGUGACGAAGCCUAAUGGGAGUAUUAAAUAAAGUGAUGAUUUUGGAUGUGUACCCUCUUCCUCACCCUGUUGAUCUCUUGGAUCGUUCGGGGAGAAGUUGUUAAUUCACCAAGCUAAAUUUUAUUUUUGGGUAUUAGCAAAUAUCGAUGGCCGAAGAAGAUAUUUUUAAGAUUGUUUUUCGUACAUGUUUGGUUUGUACAAAUUUUUGGUGAUGUUGUUUAGUUUGAACAAUGCUCCAACAACUUUUUAACGGAUAAUGGAUAAAGUUCUUUAUGAUAUGCCAAAGGUGAUUGGUGACUUCAUUGAUGAUAUCUUGAUUCACUCAAAAGGGAUAUGGGAGGAGCAUGUCUAUGAUGUUUGUAAAGUGUUGGAUUGGCUAUGUGACAUUAGUUUAAAACUAAAGUAGUUGAAGUGUGUGUUUAGGUCCAAGGACAUGACUUAUUUUGGGUACCAUAUUUCUCGUGAGGGUUUGCAAAUUGAUCAUGACAAACUUAUGGUUGUUCUAAAGUUCCCUACUCUGAAGUGUAUGAAUGAUGUGUAGCACUUCUUGGGAAGGUGUAGUAAAUUUUCAUUUUGCAUAUUGAUGCUUCUGAUAUUGGUCUUGGAGGUGUAUUGAUGCAAAAAAACCCGAGUCUGCCUGGUCAGUGCCAUCAUAUUGCAUAUAUAAGCCGUACAUUACAACCAAUGGAAGUGAACUACUCCACAAUAGAGGAGUGUUUAGCAGCAGUCUAGGAUUUAAGAAACUUCAUGCAUAUCUAUGUGAAGAAGGAAGAGGAGUUCAAGAAAGGGCAUCAACAUCAGCCAUAGAACUCUCUAAGCAAUGAACAAUAUCAAAAUCAUAUAUCUGAAGCUUCAAAGCCCAUUGAGCAAUACGACCAAUUAGGUUAUUCUGUUUCAAUAAUAAAGUAAUAGUAGCAUGAUCACCUUCUAAUAACGUCCAAAAACCAUCAUAUUUUUAACAAGCCUAUUAUUCCAACAUUUGUGGAUUUUCUAGACGAGGAUUUUGGACUAUUGGUUAUUCCUGUACUUGACGUUUAGUGUCCACAAGGUGCAACACAAAAUCUACCUUUUUUUGAUAAGGUUUGCAAGGCUCAAAAGAUUGAUCUAUGGAUUCGAAGGUUUCUAGAUGGGUUUGAGAAUCCUGCAUUACUUGUUGAUGACUUACUAUUCCGGCAUUUACAUUCUCAAUAUUGCCUUGAAGACAACCUUCUUUAUUUUGUGGGGACAGAUUCUGAUAAUCAUUUACGGCUGGUGGUGCCUUCUGUAUUUAUUCCAUAAUUUCUCCAUGCCUACCAUGAUUCGUUUAUUCUAUGUGGGCAUAUGGGACAUCAUCGUAUAAUCAAGAAGCUGCACAGGCUUUUUUAUUGGCCGGAGAUGCAACGUGAUGUUAUCUGGUAUAUGCGUAGUUGCAUUUGGUGCCAAGCUCAUAAUACUCCCUCUCGUGCUGCGAAAGGAUGAUUGGAGUCAAUUGUAAUUUCCUGUCCAUUUGAGUUGGUGGUAUUUGAUCUUAUGGGAUCUUUUCCGUGAUCGAUUACUAGCAAUGAAUAUGUUAUUAUUUUUUUUAACUAUUUGACUCAUUGGGUGGAAGUUAGUGCUCUUGCUAGCGCCUCUGCAACUACUGUUGGAUAAUUCCUCCUUAAUCGAGUGGUAUUUUAGCAUUUUUGUUCAAAGUGAAUUCUUUCGGAUAAUGGUCCCGCAUUUGAUUGGGGAUAUGUCACACUUUCACGAGUGCUUAUCAUCUAUAGUCAGAUGGUUUGGUGGAAUGACUCAUUCAAACAUUCAAAGGAAUGAUUGCAAAGUACAUGAGCUUUCAAUAUUUGGAUUGAGAUGGUUAUUUACCAUUUAUUUGGUAUGCAUAUAUUAUAAGACUGUAGAGUUCUGUUAAUGCUUCACCAUAUAAACUCCUAUAUGGUCAUGAUCCAAUAUUACCAAUGGAGUUAGGUUUACCUUCGCAGUUGCUACAAGCUGCCGAUGCUAGGUUGUGGGAUCAAUAUUUGACGAGCAUUCUUCUACUUGUUUAAGUAAAAUCUACUGAACACUUAGGCUGCAUAUUAAUGGGACAACAACGAUGCUACAAUUCCCAUUAUUGUCCACUUACAAAGUACAAAGUGGAUAACUUGGUGUUAAUCCGUUUUCCCCAUUUUACGGUAUGUGGUUUAUCUAAGGGGCUUUUUGCUCAGUGGAAAGGACCGUAUCAAGUGUUGUAGCAAUUUGGACCACAAGUUUAUGAGGUUUGGCAUGACAUCCAGCAGGCCAAUCCUCUAGAAAUUGUGCAUGUGUAACGGUUAAAACGCUUCGUACAAAGGGAUUAAAAACAAUUGAUACCACCUACAGAUCUACCGAUACCUCCUCUUGACAUUCAUUCAGAUCCUAGCCCAUCUAUAAAAGAACUCUGAUGGUCUUUCAUUAUUCUGAGAGGAGGGGAUGAUGUGAGGUCCAAAUGUAUAGUUAUGAUACCAUAUAUUAAUAUUAGCAUAGUGGGAUUUUGAUAACCAUCAAAUUGGUUUCAAUCUGGACCACUCCGCUUUGUAUAUAAGUUAGAGUCUUUGGGCUAAUUAAUAUGCACAUUUUUUGUAUUCCCUUUCCAUAUUCCAUACACUCACAAAUGUUACACUAUAUAAUCUAGAAACACAAAAAUGAUCUCCAAAGCACUACCACUCAUGACUACUAACAUCCCACUAUUCAUAAAUAAAUAAGAAAUAAUAAUUGUAUCAUAACUUAGUUGUCCUACUUUCUAAUAUAACCUAAAGGCAAAUAUGAGCAUAAAUAUUGCUAGUAAAGUUAUAAUAAAAUUUAGUAUUAAUUUAUGAAAGAGAUUUAUAAGUUAAAUUUUAUUGCUUUAGGACCUAUUAAACUAGUUUUCAUAUGAAUGUUUUGACAUGAUUUUAUCAAAGCAUAGUUAUAAAACUAGAAAUGAAUCUAGUUAUCAAAAGCAUGUUAUAUAUCUAAUAAUUUGCUGUGUGUUGCAUGUGUAAUACAGAAAGAAAAGCGGAGUAAGAACAACAGAUUUCACUUCGACACACCCAUUGAUUCAUAUAUGGCUGUAUAUAUAUACAACUUCAACCAAAUCAGAAAUCACCAAAGAUCUGAUCACGAUUCAGACUGUUUGUCGUGUUCAUCAUUAUUCCUACACUCCCCCUUCAAGCUGAGGGUGCUUGACACUCCAAGUUGAUUCCUCAGCUUGGUGAAUGUGAGCUCCGAAAGUGGCUUGGUUAGAAGGUCUGCCAACUGAUACUGUGAAGGAACGUAUUCCAGGUGAAGAUCUCCGGCUGCUACAUGUUCACAAAUGAAGUGAUGCUGCAUGUCUAUAUGUUUCGUACGAGCAUGAAACACAAGAUUCUUUGACAUGGCAAUUGCACUUCUGCUGUCGCAAUGCAGAAUGGUCGCAUCUGAUUGCUGUUGAUUGAGUUCUCCAAGUAAUCGACGAAGCCAGAUGAUCUCCCUUGCUGCUGUACUGGCAGCUACGUACUCUGCUUCUGCACUGGAAAGAGCAACCGUCGUUUGCUUCUUGCUUCCCCAUGAAACCGGAGCACCAGCAAUUAUGAAGCAAAUUCUAGAGGUUGAAUGUUGUGUAUCCAAGUUGCCAGCCCAAUCUGCAUCGCAGUAAGCUUGAAGAACAAGUUUGGACUGACCUGAGCAUUUGUAAACUAGUCCAUGAGCAGCCGUUCCUUUCAAAUACCUCAAAACUCUCUUCGCCAUCUGCCAAUGAUAACAACUCGGAGACUGCAUGUAUUGGCUGAGGAGACCAACGGCAAAGGAGAUGUCGGGGUGAGUCAUGUUGGCGAGGUAGAGUAGUCCUCCAACAAGCGAUCGGUAGACCGAGGGCUGAUCAAAUAAAUCAUCCAUCUUGCUUGUGAACUUGAUGCCAGUGACGACUGGUGUAGCCACGGAAUUGCAACUUGUCAUGUUGAACUGGUUGAGAAGCUUCUUCACAUAUUGGUGCUGUAUGAGGGUGAUUGUCCUGUCUGCUUCAUCCAUGUCUGCUUCAUCCCUGUCAACUUCCAUCCCUAACAGCUGCCGCACAGCUCCUAAGUCCUUCAUCACAAACCUGACCAUAAGCUUGAUCUUCACAUCCUUCAAAACAGUGUCAUUGUUGCUGACAAUCAAAUAGUUGUCCACAUAAACUGCUAUCACAACAAAGUGAUCACCCUACUGAAGAAGAUAUAGAUUUCUAUCGCUGUUCAACCUCUACAUACCAAGAUCCAUAAGAAAAGAAUCCAAACAUUCAUACCACUGACGGGAAGCCUGCUUAAGGCCAUAAAGAGCCUUGCGAAGCUUGUAGACGAGUUUGGAGCACCGUGAUCCAAAAAACUCAAAGCCUGGGGGUUGCCGCAUAAAUAUCUCCUCCUUCAAGUUCCCAUUAAGGAAGGCUGUUUUUACAUCCAUGUGAUGUGCGCACAAACCAAACUCCGCUGAAAAAGCCAGAAGCGUUCUGAUACUUGUCUGCUUCACAAUUGGUGAGAACGUCUCAUCAAAAUCCACUCUAGGAACUUGUGAAUAUUCUUGAGCAACAAGUCUUUCUUUGUAAUGCUGUACCAAUCCAUCAGGAUUUCUGUGAAGCUUGAACACCCAGCGUGAUCCAACAACUUCACGUCCUUUAGGAGCUUCCACCAAGUCAUAAGUCUAGUUCUCAUCAAGAGAAUUCAACUCAUCUUGCAUUGCUGAAAUCCACUUAUCUGCAUCAGGAGCUUGAAUCGCCUGCUCAAAGUUGACUGGUUCAAAAGCUAUUUCUAUUGCUGCAAAAGACCAUUGCUUGGGAUGAGGUGCUCUGCUUGAUCGUCCAGAUGAUGUCCGCCCACAGUUCUCCACAUUGAAUGGUAGAUCACGUGUGAGCCUGUCAACUUCUCCAGUUUGUGCAUGAUGAGCAGCAUCACCCUGUUCUUCAGGAAGAAAAGAUCCAAAGACUGGUGUUGGAUGAUGAUCUGCUAAAGGAGAUGAGGGAUAGAUGAUUGUCAGAUCAUUGUCAUCUUCAUCAUCGUCUUCAACACCAUCCCAACUCCAUUCUUCCGGCAUCCAGUUCAUGUUUUGAUCUGAGCUUCCUUCUUCUUGAACACGAUCUUUAUAGAGUGUUCCUUCAUCAAAACGAACGUCAGUGCUUACAAAAAUUUGAUGAUUACCAGGCUGGUACAGGCGAUAUCCUUUUGAAUUGGAAUCGUAUCCAACAAGAAAGGCCAGAUUGCUUCUGCUCUCCAAUUUGCCGAGACGCUCAUCCACCCUUUUUGCAAAGCUUAAACAACCAAAACACCUGAGAUGCACCACCGAUUGUCUUUGACCAGUCCAAAGCUCUUCUGGGAUCUUGUUGGGAUUGCGAGAAUGAGGGAGAAGGUUUUGAACAUGCACAGCUGAUCCAACUGCUUCAGCCCAGAGGAAUUUUGGUAGUCCUGAUUCUUGAAGGAAGCAUCAAACUGCGUUCAUGAUUGUCCUAUUCUUGCGCUCAGAGACUCCAUUCUGUUGAGGGGUAUGAGAGCAAGAGUGCUGAUGAAAAAUUCCUUGUUCAGCACAGAACUACUGAAAGGACUUGUUGACGUAUUCCCCUCCUGAAUCAGUAUGUAAACAACCAACCCUUUGACCAGUUUUCACUUCAGCUUUUGCUACGAAUUGCUUGAAUUUGCUGAAGACUUCAUCUUUGUGACGAAGAAAGAAGACGUCCAUGUGCCUGGAGAAAUCAUCUGUAAAUGUCACAAAAUACUUCAUGCCAUUCUGAGCAAAUAGUCGCAUGGGUCCACAAACAUCUGAGUGAAUGAGCUUCAAGGGAUGAGUGCUUCUGAUCACAGCAAGUUUGAAAGUACGACGGGUUUGCUUGCCAAGAAUGCAAGUGUGACAUUUUGCUGAACUUUGAAGAACGUGGUCGUUGAAGCCAUCCACAAGCUCCUGCUUCUGCAUACGCCUGAUGAGAGGGGGAUUGGCAUGUGCAAGUCGAGAAUGCCAGAGAGAACUAUCUGCAGUCAUGCAUAUCUCAGGAGCAUUCGAUUUUUCUCCAAAAGCUAUCUCCUUCUCAAACAAGUUACCACAUCUGGGAAAAUGCAGUAAUGGACGGCCAUUUGCAAGAACUUGACAUUGAUGUUUGGAAAAAUUCACAUCCAGACCUUCAUCUGUAAGCCUGGCUACAGAAACCAGAUUCUUCACUACCUUUGGAACAUACCACGCAUUCUUCAAGAGCAGAGACUUUCUUCCCAGUGGAACUCGCACAUCCCCAGUUGCGCGAACAGGUAAAAUGCUUCCAUCUCCCACACGAAUGCACUUCCCUUUUGCAGUACGCAACUGCACAAAGUUCGACCCGCUUUGCAUCAGGUGUCUCUCUGAACCUGAAUCAAUGGUCAGUUUUUCAGAAACAUUUGGAACUGCUACCUCAGAUGAUGCUGCAAGUUCCUGUGUUUCCCCUUCCUGAGCAUUUGCUGCGAGCCCUAUGUUCAUGCGCUGCAGCCAAGCUGCAACUGGGCAAUCCUUGGAGUAGUGUCCUGGCAUCCCACAGGUCCAGCAUUCCUGUUUGUUCUUGCCCAGAAAACAAUCUUGAACUGCUACUUCUUUACCAGAAUUCCCUGAAUUCUGCUGCUGCUGCGGAUUUCCCCUAAACCCACGACCUCUGCCUCGUCCUCCUCUUCCACGGCCUCCUCUGCCUUGAUGAUUUCCAGCCCAUAGAGCUGAAUCAGUCCCUGAUUGAUUGAUUGAUGCAGAAGCAUUUGAUGUAGACUGUGAGAUCAAAAUAUGGGAAGGGCUCUGAUCAAAGUCCACAAUCAAACCUUUCGCAGCCAGCUCCGAGCUUAAAUUUUGCUCAGCUUGUUCAAAGUUGAGCGACAUCAUGCGAACAAUAGGGACGAAAGAACUAAAAGACGAAUCUUGCAUGGCCUCGCAAAGUGCCAGAACUUUCUUGCUUUCGUUGAACGCUGCUGGACUGCCUUCAAGCUCCAUCCACAGAUCUUGCAUCUUGGCGAGGAACUCUUCAAAGUUCUCACCUGGAUGAAAACGGGUCUCACGAAUGCAAGUCUUGACCAUGUUGAUCUUGGAGAGGGAAAGAACAGCAUACUUGUUGUGGAGAUGAGCCCAGAUCUCACAAGCACACUUAUGAUGCAAACGCAUCAUAAGGGCAUCUGCAAGCUUAGAAAGAAUCAAUCCUUUUGCUCGAGAUUCCUUCUUCUCCAGUGCAGCUUGUUCCCCUGGAUCAAGCUGUUGUCGAGCUGCUGCAACAGAGGCACGAAUUGCCUCUUCAUCCACGACUUCUCCUUCCACCGAAGUUGAAGCUCCCAACACAGCAGGGGCUUGCUGCGUACGAGCAUCUGCAGCGAUUGUCAGUGGUGAAACGAUUUCCCAGAGUUCUUCCAUCUGCAGCACGCGCAUCAUUUUCUCGGACCAGGUGUUGAACCCUCUCCUCCCAUCAAAGGCAGUGACUCCCUGAAGCAAGAUCAAUCCAACUUUGCUGCAGCUCAUGAUGUGAGGCACAAAGAAAGGAGAAGAAAGAGUUCAGAAACUGAGCUCCGAUACCAAGAAAGAAAAGCGGAGCAAGAACAAUGGAUUUCACUUCGACACACCCAUUGAUUCAUAUAUGGCUGUAUAUAUAUACAACUUCAACCAAAUCGGAAAUCACCAGAGAUCUAAUCAUGAUUCGGACUGUUUGUCGUGUUCAUCAUUAUUCCUACAUAAUACUUGGUUUGCUUAUUCAUAUUACUUCUCAGUUAUUAAUCAUAUUGAUCAAUUUAAAAUUUAUAGUUAUGAACAUGUUUAUAAUUUGGAUUAAUCUUAAACAUUAGAAUAAACUAAAAUAUACUAAGAAGUAUUUAGGAAUUUUAUAAAUUAUAAAUAUAUAAUUAAUCUAAAUGAAUAAAAACUAUACAAAAUAACUACCAUAAAGGAUGAAUCCUAUCUCCAAAGUGUCUUUUUCUUCCACGGAUGACCCCACUUGCAAUUUGUCGAUCAAACACAGUGCAAAGAUUAGAUUGAACUUAACAUUGGUACACAAAUCAAACCUUUGCAAUCAAAAUUGAUUUUUUCCUUCUCUCUCUCUCUCUCUACCAAAACUAGACCUACAUUUUACUGUAGUUAACAUAUGAUUAUUGGCUCACUUCAUUAGGGCUGAUAUUAAAGAUGCCCUUCAUGUUGCAAGGUUCAAAUAAAAAAUUACACUUUUUAAGAAAGGUAGAAAAAUAUUUUAACUAUAAAAAAAAGUCAAUUAAUUAAUUUUGAUGAUAGAUCAAUUUAGGAUAAAAACAUUAACAUUUCUGUAUGAUUAUUCUUAUAGCAUGGUAAUAUUAUAAUUAUAGUACUACAAUAAAAAACAUAAUAAACUUUUUCAUCCAAAUUUGUUAAUUAUUAUAAAGCCCCACAUUUAAAUUACCAUUAAACACAUAAAACUCUACCACCAAAUUCAAUUAUUUAUUACCCUUCUAUAGCAAUAAAUAUAUGCAUUAUAUAUUACAAUAUAUGCAAAUUUAUUUUUUUGUUUAAGUUGCAUGCAAAACAAUUAUACACACAAUCACUUUUCAAUUGCGAUAUAAAAAAUUGAAACAUGAUUAUUUGUAUAAUUGUUUUUAUUAUAGGAUAUGCUAUGGGGCAUGACACCUUAGAUUAUCAUGCAAGACCAUAUCAAACAACAUGAAGUCACUACAAAUUUAGUGGGGCUUUUUUUUAUUUUAUUUUUAUGUUAUUGAGUGUAAAUUUAUGAUUUUCUAACUAUGAUUAAUCUCUCUCCUCCUUUGUGCAUUAUGUCAUUCGCCUUUCAUUUUGCAUGGCUAUGCUUUAUUUUCUGUAGCUUGGAGGCAUUUUCAAUUGUAGCAUGCAUUAAUGUAAACACAAUGCUUUGAUCACUUUUGCAAGUGCUUUUCAUUUAUCAUAACUUAUUUGUAACAUAACACUUUAAUUUAUAUAGUGAUUGAUUCUUGUAAAGGCAAGUAUGAUCAAUUAAAGCGUAGAAGUGAAUGCAAAGUUUUUCUUUGAAUACUUAAAGUGUUAAAUGCAAUAGUUUUUCUGUGAGCAAGUGGAUUUUAUUGUAGCUACAAUAAAACAUUAGUUCCAUUGACUUCUUACAUUCUUAAUCACACACACACACACACACACACACACAUAUUUAUAGUGAUUUGUUGCACUUGGGCAUGUUGGUUUAAGGUAUUUGGUGUAGUUUUAUUAUAAAUUUUAUUAUUUUUACUGAUAUAUAAAUUGAUAUGAGUUUUGGUAAGAAAGAAAGUGAAACUGAUAUAUUUUAUAUAGUAGUUUUACUUCAUGGUUUUUCUUACUAGUUUGUUUGAUAUGUAGUUUAUAACAGUUAUUUUAUAUAGUAGUUCAUAGUUUAUCUACUAGUUUCACAUAUAGUUUGAUAUAUUGCUUAUAUGCUAGGUUAUUUCAGUUUUGUAGGUUCCCUAGAUACGUCUCACCAUCUCAGCCAAUAAGCGCUGCAUACGAGCCUGCAGCUUCUCAUUAGGCAGGUGACUGCAAACAGACACGUCAGUGGAGAAGCAAAGAAAUAUUUCAUUUUCUUACCUUAGUUCUUCCUCCACUUCAGGAGCCCCACUCACACGGCCUUGCAACUUGAUGAAGGCUUUCCGUCUCCAAAAUGCUCUUCUGGCAUCGUUAGGCCGCCAUGAUGGAACUCCAGCUAUUCGCGUCCGGAGUCUCAUUUCUUUAUGGAGGCCAUGCUAAGAGUCGUCGUUGGUGAUAAAGUUCCCAGUUGGUAAGGGGUACCACUAAAAAAAACAAAGUACAAGAUUGAAUUGCGCAAAAUUAAAUUGACCAUACCUUUUCAGCGAUAUAGAAGUCCCCCACAAGGUAUUUGUUCGUGGGAUAUCGCUUGGGAUGAUAAUCAUUCCAAAGUUCCAGUUCUGCGAUUCCAUCGUCAAGGGACUUGAUCAAAUCCGAUUCGCUCUUGGGCUCUACUCCUUUCUCCUCGCAAUGUUCUGCAAAAUACUGAUGAAGAACAAGGUUUCAGGCACAGCCUCAUCAUGUACCGGUAUAGCGAAGAUACGAGGCUAGCGAGAUUGUGUUUUCGGAGACUUCCACGAGGCCAUGCACGUCUAGAACACCAUACGUGUAAGAGGAGCCACCAAAGAUAGGAAGGUAAACUGGGUCGUAGUGGCCAUGGGCAAUGUUGUGCCGAACUUCGACUCGGCCAUACCCAACAUUCUGUGAGCAUAGAAACCAAAAUAAGCAAAAGAAAUGAGAAAAAUGGAAGCCUGCACCUGAAAGACUGCUUGGUCGGAUUCAUUUGCCUUACACUCAGCGAUGAAGGGGCACAGCUCGGCCUUCAGUUGGCCCUUCUUCCUCUUGGAUAGCUUUGGAUCUUUGAAAACGCAAGGCUUGUGUGUCCUGAACUUGAUGUCCGUCCUCGCGUGCUCCGGCAAACCAAGCUCAUCCUCGUUCGCCUCGGUAACUCCUUCCCUCUCAGAUCCCGUAGAAAAGCUGGAACUAUCCUGUAACAGUCAUAUACUUCCUGUCAUCUCUCAUUACAUGCAAGCAUACGUACCAUGAUGCCAAUCUCCACAGCAAAGCCUUGGAGAGCGUCGUCGUCAAGCUGCUGCAAGUGCUGGACCGUUUGCAGCCCAUUCAUGUCACCACGCAUUCGGAGCCUUUCCUUAAGAUCUCGAAGCUCCGUUUCGGAGGGGGUGGACAUCCAGUAGAACAUCUCAACAAGGGCGAGAUGCCACGGCCGCAUGUUCCCCUCGGUUCUCUGCUUGGCGUAGACGCUAGCAUCACAAGGCCCUCAGUUAGCAUCAAACAAGUCCAGGAGCAAAAGGGUUCUCUCGGACAACGAACCUUUCCACCACUGCGAGGCGCUCCCACAGGAGGCUUACGACGGUAUCCAUCGUGUCUUUGGCUAUCAAGCCGCCAAAGAAUUUGUUCUUUGUGCCCAGUGCUUGCAGCGAGCCCUCCGUCUCCCAGAUCGUGACAAAGGGCUCCACUGCCCGCAACACCCCAAUGUGGUACGAGCUUUCUGGCACAUCGAAUGGAUUUCCUUUCCUUCCCUUACCAGUAUCGGCGCUGCGCUUGCGCUUCCCCGCCAUUAGGGUAAACGAUAGUUCUUAAAAUUUACAUAUGCCGUGAUCGGACGGUCGGUUAUGCAUGUUUACCUUUUGGGUGAGUAAAUAACUUUUGCUUAGCUAGAAUAUUCGACAAAUAUUGCUGGGAAACAACUCAAGGUACCUAUCUCAUUUGAAGAACCUGGUUUUGCCUGCUCGAUUUUCAGGCUAAGCAGCAGCAAUGUCCGAGCAGACUCUCAUCGACCAAUAGCUGAGCUCAAUGAUAAAGAUUGAUUCCAGGAGAUGGAUAUAUUCUUUUUUUCGCCUCCCAAUAGCCCUCUUCCUCCAUUUUCUCGUUCUUCGAAUCCUCUCCUACCGCAAGCCCCUGGCGGCGCCGGAGAACGCAUCGAUGCUGCCAGAGAUGUUCCCGAGCAAUCUGCUAAUAUAAAAAAAGCUUGAAGCGGAGAAGAGAAACAAAAAAAAGAGAAAUAUUACCUCUUGCGACGCUGGAGAACGAAAUCCUCAGCUGUGCCUCGCAGAAGUUGUAUUGUCUCGCCACGAAUGGGCCAGCCUCGAUCCCCUGGCGGUGUUUGUAUGGAACCACUCUUUCUUCUUGAAGAUACAAGGAAUGCAGCCGCCACAGGGAUCACAAGCAGCAAGGAGAGCCAUAACCUCACCUGAUAGCUUCUUGCAGUGUUUCGGACCAAACGAGGACUUCUGUAACUUUUUCCGUUUCGGCAAUUUCUCAAAAGAAAUCCCGACUUAUGUUACUCAUCAAAUGAGAAUCUGGAACACGCCAAAUGUCUUUUGACAGCAUAAGAAACGUUGACAUCACCUCGAGCGAGCUAUUUAAUCUGCAUUUUCCAGUUAUUGACACGUCUGUAAAUCCACAAAAUUAUAAGAUCGAUCAUAAGCAGCGUAGCUUAGCUUCAAAGCAAGUGCUUUCGGAACCAAGCUAUAAAGUCUUCGUGAGCCUCCUCUGCGUUCUUCACGGCGUUUUCGCUAUUCACAUCGUAGCGGACAGUCCAGCCAUGAGCAGUUCCUGGGAAAACCUUGACAAAGUGAUCCUGCGGAGGCAAGGGAUUGUCAGAUGAACAAAGGAAAAGAACAAGAAAACGAGUGGAAGGAGAAAACUUUACCUGGUUUCCAUGCUCGAGGUGUUUCUUAAAUUCAUUCACCAUAUCUACUGGCGUUACAUGAUCGGUUUCAGCGGCGAGGAUCGCCAGUGGUGCCUUGCACGCUGCAUAGAAAAUUUCUCUCACUUCUUAGCAUUUAGCAAGGAGAAACAGCGGAAACUUGGCCAACCUUUUAUAUCGUCUAUAGUAACCAUCGAAGGGUGGCACAUCACAAGUGCAUUGCAGGUGGUUUCCUUGGAAGCAAGGAUUACAACCUUGGCUGCAAGAAAAAAAAAAGAGAGUAAAAAAACGCGUUCUUUCUCUGGGACGAAAGAACAAUGAAGAAGAUUACCUCCCCAGCAAAAUCCGGAUAAGCCUAUAGAAGUUAUGCCUUUGGACUGAAGCACAGACACAAGCUUCUUGCAGUCUUCCAGUGGUUUGAGCUGGAUCAAAAACAGAAAAUCAAUCGACAAAUCGAAAAGAGAGAAGCAAAAAGCUUUACGUGGGGUUUAUGGCCUUGAAUCCAUGUUUGAACCGGCCCGGAAGCAUCGGGAUCGAAGAAAUCCCCGUACAAAAGAUCAGGAGCCACGGCAACAAAUCCAGCAGCCGCGACUUUGUCAGCGAGCUUCCUGAGAGCAAGGGAAGGAGAAAUCAAGAGCAAAAUGAGAAUGCCGCCAUAUACCUGAACAGUGGAGCCUUCCAUCCUGAUUGCCGGAAAGAAAAUUUAGUCCUAGGAAUCAAAGCUAGGGAUGGAAAUUACCAAAGACAUCGGAGACCAGAAUGACUGCGGCAGUGGAGGACGCCGGGUGAUUGACAUAGACAUCGAUUCCCCCCCAGGAUUCUUCGCCGCCAACGGACGAAUGCGUCGCUGGAGGAGCCGGAACGCAGCACUCGGGGCCAGCCAUAGCCAAAUAUUUUGCUCCAAAAUAAAAAACCUCGUGAGCAAUUUAAACUCCUAUGAAUGAAGCAAAGGUUAAACCUUGACCGUUCUAGAAAAUUCUAUUAUCUUCUACUAGCACAUCCCUCGAAAGCCUGCAAUCGCCUUGAUCUUCCAGGAAAUUUUUCGUGAUGUUCCAAACAUUUCAUGAUCUUGUACUAGCACACUUUUGGCUUUGCGCCAUGACUUCCCAAAAAUUUUCUACAGUGAAGUGGGAAUCACAAGAAAAAAUUGGUGUCCGAUCUGCUGGAAUCGAACCAGCGGCCUAAGGAUUUCUGGAGCGCACUACAGUCCUCCGCUCUACCAACUGAGCUAAGAUCGGAUGCUUGAACAAGGCUCUGACAAGAAGAAAGUUGUCAGUGCUCGAAUAUGCAAUGCCUAUAGAGGAGUGAUCAAAUUGUAAGCAACCACUCUCCGAUCUGCCGGAAUCGAACCAGCGACCUAAGGAUGUCUGACCAGACACUACAGUCCUCCGCUCUACCAACUGAGCUAAGAUCGGCUUGGAAAAAAACUCCCAUUUAAGAUUAAUUAAGCGGAAGGGUCCCCUUGAAAAAUAUCAUUCGAGCCUAUCCGAAGCGAUAAAGCGAAGAAAUAUCUCUACCCGUAGAGUUCUCUUUUUCUAGCUAUCGCUUCUACCUAGCUGACUGGCAGGUGGAUAGAUCCAGGAUUUGAAGAGCUAGGGUUCUUUGGCGCGUGGGAUCGAGAAGCGAUGAAGCCUAGCCGGAGCGAUGAGAUCCAGUCCCCCGAGGCCGAGCAGCGGCGUGCAAAGGAGGUCCAGGCGCACUUUGAAUUGAUAGCGCCCAAGCGCCCGAUCAAGCCGGCGCGCAGCGAGCCUGGCAGCAAUGCUGGAGGCGCCAUAGCUGCUGCUGACGCUCCGGCGGAUCAGCAGAUUCCAGAGCACGCCAAGCUCUUGGAUCUCGAGGCUCGGUCGGAGGUAGGGGAUUGUUUGAAGAUCGGGAUUUCGCAUGAGAGUGGCUGAAAUUCUUUUUCUUCCAGCCUUUGAACACUCGUGGUGGGCUUGUUGGAGACGACAGCUACGCCGAGAACGAGUACUACAAGGAUUUGAUCGCGGCGGAGAAUGGGCAGCAUCACACGGUCAGUCAGUCCUUCGCUACUGCCAAUUUUCUUCUUUCUUGUGCGUGAUUGAUGGAUCCAUGAAUUCUAUGUUGGCAAUUCUUCCACAGACUGGAACUGGAUUCAUUGAUGCGGGGGCUGCUCAAGGCUCCUCCUCAUUCCAGCUUGUGGAUGAUUAUGGCAACGCUCCAUUUUCAUCCAAUUCUGUCAAAUCCAACCCCGCAACCAACGAUUGGGUGCCUGCUCCGGUAAGAAAUUCGCGAAUACCAGGCCUCGAUUCUCACUGAUUGGGAUCAAACACUGCCAGGGACUGGCACCAUCGACCAAACCACGACGACGAAGCAAUUAAAAACACAAAUCAAAGAAGACGCAAAGAGAAGAUAAGAUUGUUUAUUCUAUUGAAAGCAAAGGAACACAAAUAAAACAAAGCAAGUGAAUCUUUGUCAUAAUCGUCACCCGCCGCCUGUGAGAAUCGAACCCACGACCACGUGGUUAAAAGCCACGCGCUCUACCUGCUGAGCUAAGACUGAUAAUCCGGAAUGCGAUAUUUGGAAGCUCAAGUACGCAGCGGGCUUGAAUGAGCAAUACGAAACCAACAUAUAAAUAGAUUGAUUGAUCAAACAUGAUCCAAACACAAUAGAUAAUAGCAAGAACCACAAAAGAUAAUAGGAAGAUCUCUCUCUCUCAGACACACACACACCCUCAUACACGCAAAAGAAAGAAACAAACAGCAGCAAGCACACAUAUAUUACCUGGGAGGCCAGCGCUCUCUCAACACGGACCUUGGUGCAAAUCGAACUUCCCAGCGGCAGAAUAAAAAGUCCGAUCCUCUUCCUUUGGCUGACCUCACCAGUAGAGCAGCAAGACUUAAGACUUAGACCAUACGAUAGAUACGCAGACCAAACCGUUGAAAACCCCCCAUCUUCUUCUCCUUCGCAAGAUUCUCCAUCGUCCUUUCCCUCGGCUGGAGCUUCCAAACUUCUUCCAAAAGGAAGAACUUUGAUCGAUCGAGCUCGAGCGCG
RNAcentral lists this long non-coding RNA (25103 nucleotides) under Selaginella moellendorffii. RNAcentral's name for it is "long non-coding RNA (SMOE_LNC001597)". The record is from RNAcentral. Lineage: Eukaryota; Viridiplantae; Streptophyta; Lycopodiopsida; Selaginellales; Selaginellaceae.